Molecule: ribosomal RNA, 465 nt
Filed under: uncultured bacterium
Lineage: Bacteria
Description: partial 16S ribosomal RNA
Rfam family: Bacterial small subunit ribosomal RNA
Source: RNAcentral
GAUGAACGCUGGCGGCGUGCUUAACACAUGCAAGUCGAACGGAAAGGCCCAAGCUUGCUUGGGUACUCGAGUGGCGAACGGGUGAGUAACACGUGGGUGAUCUGCCCUGCACUUCGGGAUAAGCCUGGGAAACUGGGUCUAAUACCGGAUAGGACCACAUUUUGGAUGGUGUGGUGGAAAGUUUUUCGGUGUGGGAUGAGCUCGCGGCCUAUCAGCUUGUUGGUGGGGUAAUGGCCUACCAAGGCGUCGACGGGUAGCCGGGCUGAGAGGGUGUACGGCCACAUUGGGACUGAGAUACGGCCCAGACUCCUACGGGAGGCAGCAGUGGGGAAUAUUGCACAAUGGGCGCAAGCCUGAUGCAGCGACGCCGCGUGGGGGAUGACGGCCUUCGGGUUGUAAACUCCUUUCGCUAGGGACGAAGCGCAAGUGACGGUACCUGGAGAAGAAGCACCGGCUAACUACGUG